CCUGCUGGGAUUCUUUUUGGUGGAGAGGGGAGGUGAUGAGCAGAUAGGGGGUGGAGUGAGGAGUGAAAGGAAUGAAUUAAAGAAAAAUACUCAUUAAGGAACAGCUUCAUUUUAUAAUACAUAUAUAUCCUUCUGUGAAAUCAUAGCAAAAUUCUGGGAAGAAUUUAUGUCCUUUCCAAGCUCCUAAGAUUAAGUCUUAUAUAUGUCGUAUAUCCCUCAUUCUGGCCUCUUCCCAGGUGAGAAUUUUGCCCAGCGAGAGCUAUGAGGAUUACUCACUUGCACAGGCCAGGAGGAGAACGCUGCUCCGUGCUUGUACCCAGGGCUGUGGAAGUUAAUCCCACCACAGUCACGCUUUAUAGCGCUACAGUCUUUCAUAGUAACUGUGAUACUUCCACGUUGUUCGUAUGUAGCGAGGACUAAAAUGUGGUCCUUGCACAGAGCCUGGAUGCUGGGCUUCACACAGAGAAAAUACACUGUUGGUUAUAAGAGUAAUAGGUAAAAUUCAGCAGCAUAAUUCUAGAUCUGCCAAGUUCACAGCUGCCUAUAGCACUCAAGGCCAACUAUAGCACCUCUAAUAGUUUAACCACAAAAUCCAAACAUCCACUCUUAUAGUUGGGCUGGUCCCCAGAUCCCACCUCUGGGCUUGACUGUAGAAGAUGAGUGGCCAAAUUCUGCUACUUGAUUUCUUUGUAGACUUCUGCCUUAGAGCAGUGCCACAGUGACAGUGCUGUGUCUGAGGGUUCCUAUGACCCUUCCAACUCCAACCUUGCAAUUUGCAUAUAAAAAUCUGAGACUCUCUGAUGUGAGAACAGUACUUUAUUUCCCUCGUCUUUUCAGGAUUACAGCUCUCAAACACUGAGGGGGCUGUAAAAGCCAGCGGGCACUGACCAGGCUCAAAGUCCUUCAACAGUGUUCAAGAUGAACCGUCCUCUGGUACACAGCACCGGGCUUGGGCGACUGAUUUCACUUCACUGUUCUGCCACAGGCUCCUGCAUGACAUUAACCAUAUUUUGCAGCCUGGGAACCUGUGGUCAGCCAGACCAUAAAGAAUCAGUGCUGAGGACCACCGGAGUAACUCUUAAAUUGGCUAAGCACAGACACCAUUGCAAUGAGAGCCAUAAAAAUGUGGAUUUCUCAGAGAUCUGACAAAAAAGGGGAGCAGAGACCACUUCAGUGGUGACUGCAUUCAUACUUUUGGGAGACAUAUUCCAUGACACAGUUGCCAUUACUUCCACCAGAUUUUGGCCCUUUGCAAAAGCAGAAGGUCAUUUCAAUUUUAGUACCAGUGAGCAGUAUCUCAGGGCCUUCCUCUAUCACAUUUUAUUCAGUCAGGAACCAGAAAACUUUUCGCAUUUACUCAAUGCCUGAAGUAUAGUUCUGUGCUAGGAAUAAAAUUGUCAAGUUGUGUGCUU
Molecule: long non-coding RNA, 1412 nt
Organism: Rhea pennata
Lineage: Eukaryota; Metazoa; Chordata; Aves; Rheiformes; Rheidae
Exons: 4
Source: RefSeq, a predicted model, not a curated record